This 756-nucleotide ribosomal RNA is filed under the name Elimia doolyensis. RNAcentral's name for it is "eukaryotic LSU rRNA". It matches the Rfam family "Eukaryotic large subunit ribosomal RNA", at positions 403 to 961 of the family's 3401-position model. Lineage: Eukaryota; Metazoa; Mollusca; Gastropoda; Pleuroceridae. The record is from RNAcentral.
AACCGCCUAGAGGUAAACGGGUGGAUCCGCAAAGUCGGCCCGCGGAAUUCAGCUCGGAAGGCUGGCGCGGGCGGCGGGCUAAGAGAUCUGAUCGGACUCUCCCGUCGCUCGACCGCUGGUCGGCCGUGUGCACUUUCCGCGGGCAGAGCGCCACGACCGGUUCUCGGGCGGUCAGAAGGCGGCUUGGAAGGUAGGUGGGCUCCCCCCCACUGUUAUAGCCUCGCCUGUCCCGACCCGCUCGGGGACCGAGGAGCCGCCGUCGGUCGCGGCCACUCCGCUCUCUUGGGGAGUUCGACUAGCAGAGACUGGGCAACCGUGUCUGCUGACUGCUCUCUUGGAUGGUCGGAGCGGGCCUGGCCGGCACAGGGUCGGUGGCGAAUCGGUCGGCCCUCCACCCGACCCGUCUUGAAACACGGACCAAGGAGUCUAACAUGCGCGCGAGUCGUUGGGUAGUACGAAACCCGAAGGCGAAGUGAAAGCGAGGGCGUGCCUCUGGCGCGCUCAGGUGGGAUCCUGCUCCCUAACCUAAAAGGGGAUGGGAGUGGGCGCACCGCCGGCCCGUCUCGUCCGCGUCGUCGGUGAGGCGGAGCAAGAGCGUGCACGUUGGGACCCGAAAGAUGGUGAACUAUGCCUGAGUAGGAUGAAGCCAGAGGAAACUCUGGUGGAGGUCCGCAGCGAUUCUGACGUGCAAAUCGAUCGUCAAACUUGGGUAUAGGGGCGAAAGACUAAUCGAACCAUCUAGUAGCUGGUUCCCUC